This 253-nucleotide ribosomal RNA is filed under the name uncultured bacterium. RNAcentral describes it as "partial 16S ribosomal RNA". It matches the Rfam family "Bacterial small subunit ribosomal RNA", at positions 524 to 776 of the family's 1533-position model. The record is from RNAcentral.
GACGAACUGUGCAAACGUUAUUCGGAAUCACUGGGCUUAAAGGGUGCGUAGGCGGUCUUGUAAGUAGGGUGUGAAAGCCCCCGGCUCAACCGGGGAACUGCGUCCUAAACUGCAAGGCUUGAGUGAGGCAGGGGUGUGUGGAACUUCCAGUGGAGCGGUGAAAUGUGUUGAUAUUGGAAGGAACGCCGGUGGCGAAAGCGACACACUGGGCCUUGUCUGACGCUGAGGCACGAAAGCCAGGGGAGCGAACGGG